Molecule: non-coding RNA, 27 nt
Filed under: Drosophila erecta
Lineage: Eukaryota; Metazoa; Arthropoda; Insecta; Diptera; Drosophilidae
Also listed under: 1 other name
Source: RNAcentral
UCAGAGGACAUGUUUUAAUUGCGGAAA